Molecule: ribosomal RNA, 451 nt
Filed under: uncultured bacterium
Lineage: Bacteria
Description: partial 16S ribosomal RNA
Rfam family: Bacterial small subunit ribosomal RNA
Source: RNAcentral
GUGGGGAAUAUUGGACAAUGGGGGGAACCCUGAUCCAGCCAUGCCGCGUGUGUGAAGAAGGCCUUUUGGUUGUAAAGCACUUUAAGCGAGGAGGAGGCUACCGAGAUUAAUACUCUUGGAUAGUGGACGUUACUCGCAGAAUAAGCACCGGCUAACUCUGUGCCAGCAGCCGCGGUAAUACAGAGGGUGCGAGCGUUAAUCGGAUUUACUGGGCGUAAAGCGUGCGUAGGCGGCUUUUUAAGUCGGAUGUGAAAUCCCCGAGGUUAACUUGGGAAUUGCAUUCGAUACUGGGAAGCUAGAGUAUGGGAGAGGAUGGUAGAAUUCCAGGUGUAGCGGUGAAAUGCGUAGAGAUCUGGAGGAAUACCGAUGGCGAAGGCAGCCAUCUGGCCUAAUACUGACGCUGAGGUACGAAAGCAUGGGGAGCAAACAGGAUUAGAUACCCCGGUAGUCC